Molecule: ribosomal RNA, 253 nt
Filed under: uncultured bacterium
Lineage: Bacteria
Description: partial 16S ribosomal RNA
Rfam family: Bacterial small subunit ribosomal RNA
Source: RNAcentral
UACGGAGGGCGCGAGCGUUAUUCGGAAUCAUUGGGCGUAAAGCGCGUGUAGGCGGCUGGGUAAGUCGGAUGUGAAGGCCCGGGGCUCAACCCCGGAAUUGCAUUUGAAACUGCCUAGCUAGAGUCUCGGAGAGGAGGGCGGAAUUCCCGGUGUAGAGGUGAAAUUCGUAGAUAUCGGGAGGAACACCAGUGGCGAAGGCGGCCCUCUGGACGAUGACUGACGCUGAGACGCGAAAGCGUGGGGAGCAAACAGG